RNAcentral lists this transfer RNA (77 nucleotides) under Methanocaldococcus infernus ME. RNAcentral's name for it is "tRNA-Tyr (GTA) (tRNA-Tyr-GTA-1-1)". It matches the Rfam family "tRNA". Rfam says of the family: Transfer RNA (tRNA) molecules are approximately 80 nucleotides in length. Their secondary structure includes four short double-helical elements and three loops (D, anti-codon, and T loops). Further hydrogen bonds mediate the characteristic L-shaped molecular structure. tRNAs have two regions of fundamental functional importance: the anti-codon, which is responsible for specific mRNA codon recognition, and the 3' end, to which the tRNAs corresponding amino acid is attached (by aminoacyl-tRNA synthetases). tRNAs cope with the degeneracy of the genetic code in two manners: having more than one tRNA (with a specific anti-codon) for a particular amino acid; and 'wobble' base-pairing, i.e. permitting non-standard base-pairing at the 3rd anti-codon position. Lineage: Archaea; Methanobacteriati; Methanobacteriota; Methanococci; Methanococcales; Methanocaldococcaceae. The record is from RNAcentral.
CCCGCGGUAGUUCAGCCUGGUAGAACGGGGGACUGUAGAUCCCCAUGUCGCUGGUUCAAAUCCGGCCCGCGGGACCA